Long non-coding RNA from Platichthys flesus (European flounder), 2715 nucleotides. RefSeq lists it as uncharacterized. The record is from RefSeq and is a predicted model, not a curated record. Lineage: Eukaryota; Metazoa; Chordata; Actinopteri; Pleuronectiformes; Pleuronectidae. The transcript is spliced from 3 exons.
AGACAUUGACCAGUGUUUGAUGAGGACAGACGGUCCAAGGUGUCCCACAAUGCUUCAGUCCAAGGCUUUGAGACAAACACUGUAUGUAUAUCAGACGUCAGCAGCAAAAUCUACAGACUUCACCACACGCAACUGACUACGACCAGAGGCCGUGCAUCGUGGGGCCCGGGAUGGGGCGGGGGGGGCGUAGCGGCAGCGCUUUGACCCGCAGCAGAGGAGGAGGAGGAGGAGGAGGAGCAGCGGCCCUCCUCUCGGCCGUACGCCCUCGAGGACCAUGCUAUUUCUCCGUUUCCUGAAGGUCUCUCUUUCCACGGGUCCGGUGGUGGUGGUGGUUGAGCCGUGGUCUUCUUCUUCUUGUUCUUCAUCCUCCAAGGAUCAAGAAUCUGCAGCAGCAUCACCCACUGGGUCGUAGUCCUCGUCUCCGUCGUCUCCGUCUUCUUCUUUGUCAGUUUCUCGGUCUUGCUCUUGCGAGUCCUCUUCGGGAUCAAUCAUCAUCAAUCAAUCAAAUUGUAUUUCUAUAGCCCAUAUUCACAAAUCCUGAUUUGUCUCAUAGGGCUUUAACAAUGUGAGACAUCCUCUGUGCUUAACCCUCAACAAGACUCAGGAAAAACUACUUGAAAAUCUUGAAGGAUAACUUCAAUACUAUAUAUCAGUCCUGCUGCAAUCAUAGUCUACGGUCAGCAGCCAGCAAGAUCAUGAUCCAGCAUCUAGAUCAGAUCCACUAUAGUCCACAGUCAUUGUCCACUGCCACCAGUUAGGAUCCAUCAUCAGCUGCCAUCUCAGUCAUGGUCCACCACCAUUAUCUGAUGCCAACGUGAUAAAGGAUCCGCCAUUCCCACUACGACCAGCCAGCACGAUAUAGAAUCCACCAAACUGGAUCCACCAUUGUGACCUCUGAUGCACGAUCCACAAAUCAUAAUCCAUGGUGCGGCCACAGAGGCCCUGGAUCUGCAGGCGAUAAGGCAAAGGGACUCCGGGGAAGGGGAACAAGUCAGUAACAUGUACUGAUGAGAUAUGAAUUACUUUGAUGUGAUAGGGAUGAAGAAGAGGAAGGAGAAGCUGGAAAGAGAAGCUCCGUGUGUCAUGGGUCAUAACUUCCCUUUGCACCUCAGUGUCAUCAGGGGUUUUGCCUUGUAAUCAAUGAUACGAUCAAGAGAAACACACCGUCUGCUAUAAAUGACCCACAAAGACACACACACACACACACUGGAUCUAUCCGACCCAGCAACAACACGAGGGUUAAUUCUUUUUUAUUAUGAAUGUAUUUUGUCAUGAAUGAUUAUUGCUGUUACUGUGAUUUAAACUAUUGAUACACUGGUCAUCAUCCUGGGUAGUACUAAGGGUAUUUUCACUGUGUCUGUAAUUCUAUAUUAUUUCAGCAUUAUAUGUGUAUUAUAUUGUAAUAAUACUAAUUAUACUACUGCUACUCCUAAUAAUAAUACAUAAUAAAUGUAUUUCUCUACUGUAAUAACCACACUGAUGUUCAAGUGUUCAUUUGUCAGAUCAGUUUGGUUUGAAUUAGUUAUUUGAUGAUAUGAAAAGGGGCUGAGACGUAAUGAUUGACAGCUGAGACUGACUCGUGAUUGGUCGAUCGUCUGCAGCUGGAUAUCUGCUCCAUGACGUCCUCCCCACAAGAUGGCAGCAUUCGUAUCCAAGAUACUUUGGCUUCAUAGUGGAAGGAAGUCGAGAUGACCACGUCCAAAUUCAUAGUUAGGCUGUGGUGAUGAUGGAAGUCGUGUCAUUCUGUAUAUUUGAGUUGGUAUUGCUACUUGAACUAUGACCUAAUGUGUGAUUCUGCCACCUCUCUCUCUCUCUCUCUCUCUGUCUCUCUGUGUCUCUCUCUCUCUCUCUCUCUCUCUCUCUGUCUCUCUGUGUCUGUCUCUCUCUUUCUCUCUCUGGGAUGUUGUACUCUCUAACCAUCGAGCCUCUGCUCCAUAAGCUAAGGAAGGUUUUAAAAGGUGAGCGGGGGGAAGAGCGAGGCUCUGCUGGCCUGGAAGAAAGGAGGACUCCAAUACCUCAGAGUGUCCUUUUCCUUCCUAAGGAGGAGGGGGGGCAGGGCCUGGUCCAUCUGGCCAGCAGGGGCGCUGCCUUCCGCCUCCAGUUCGUCCAGAGAUUACUGACCGGGCCAAUGGACGCUCUGUGGAGACCUCUGUCCCGGCGCAUCCUGCAACAUUUGAACAGCCUGGGUCUGGAUUUUAUUCUGUCUUUAAUGAGCGAUAACAAGAGAGUCACCAUCUCUUCCUGGUUCUUAUCAGAGUGUUUUUAAAGUCUGGAACCUUUUUUUAAAAGAGCGAAGGCUACAAGGGGACUCCCUGCACUGGCUGCUGCAGGAGCCAUGGGACCAUUUUAGAUCUCCCCCCCACCCCUCACCCUUUUCUUUUUGCUUUAGUGCUGAUACUGAGUCUGAUGUUUGUUUUCCUCUGUUAAAUGAAAUAAAGCAGAAACUAUAAUGUGCCUCACAGCUGAUUAUAAACUACCUGUGUGCUUGUUGGAUGAUUUACAGCUGAAUAUCGAGCUCAGGCUGACGGGAAGAGUCGCUCAUCAAAUAUGGAAUUUGUCCUCUGAUCUCUGAUCAGACUCAGAAACGGGGUCAGCAGUGAUGAACCAACAUCCACAACAACCUGCUGAUGUAAUCUAUAUAAUCAAAUCUAUGUUAAAUGCAACACUGAUUUUCAUGAUGUUCUCUUUUUUCUUAUUAAAGCUUUGCUCAGGAUC